AACGAACGCUGGCGGCAUGCCUAACACAUGCAAGUCGAACGAGACCUUCGGGUCUAGUGGCGCACGGGUGCGUAACGCGUGGGAACCUGCCCUUAGGUUCGGAAUAACUCCCCGAAAGGGGUGCUAAUACCGGAUAAUGUCUUCGGACCAAAGAUUUAUCGCCUUUGGAUGGGCCCGCGUUGGAUUAGCUAGUUGGUAGGGUAAAAGCCUACCAAGGCGACGAUCCAUAGCUGGUCUGAGAGGAUGAUCAGCCACACUGGGACUGAGACACGGCCCAGACCCCUCGGGAGGGAAGAAGGGGGGAUAAUGGGCAAUGGGCGAAAGCCUGAUCCAGCAAUGCCGCGUGAGUGAUGAAGGCCUUAGGGUUGUAAAGCUCUUUUACCCGGGAUGAUAAUGACAGUACCGGGAGAAUAAGCGCCGGCUAACUCCGUG
Molecule: ribosomal RNA, 432 nt
Filed under: uncultured bacterium
Lineage: Bacteria
Description: partial 16S ribosomal RNA
Rfam family: Bacterial small subunit ribosomal RNA
Source: RNAcentral